AGGAGGUGUUUUUCACAAACAAGUAAACCAACUGAAUUUUAGGGCAGUUUCAGGUCAGGAAAGAGAAAUUUUCUGAGAUCCUUAAAAAGACAGUUUUCAACUCUUUUUUGCAGGGAGAAGAUAGGCACCUAUGACUGUUUCCAAGAAGGAGCUUUAACUAUUGCAUAAGGUGAAGGUGGCACUGACUGCAAUUGCAAGGCAAUUCUGGAAGAGUCACCAGAGGCGGAAGAGGCAUCAGAGGACACAGACCUGCUGGGGUAAUGAGCUAAAGCCUUCUGAAGGCUUCUAUGCUGUCUCCUGGUCUUUUAAGUGACUGACUGAAAAGAAGUGAAUGAGUAUUAUUCUAGUAAAGUGAACCUUCUCUGUCAGAUAUCUUCAAGCUGCUGAGAAGAUCUUGAGGAGACAGCCUGAGGUAGGAACAGUAAGGACAGCAAAGAUCACAACUCUUCUGGCUCUUCUGCAAGUGCUCCCAGAUGGCAGCUCCUACCUCUGGCCACUGGUACUCUGGAUCCCUGUUUGCUACCCUUGUUCUCAUUGCUGCCUGGCCUCAAGAGAGAAACCUUCCCAACUGGUGAUCAGCUUGGUGCAACCACAGUCCCUCUUAGCUGCUGCUGAUUUUCCUUUGGCCAUUUCUGAGAAUUUCUGGAGUGAGUUUGCUAGUUCUACAAAGAUCUCUCAAACUGUCCAGUCAUUAGAGACCGUGGAAGGAUUACAUUUGGAUAAAAACCAAAAUACCACAAAAUCCAGUGGAAGGCUUGACCCUGAAGUAGGUGACCAUUGUCAGCUUUGUUUGUAUUGCCAAAAUUUGAGAAUAUUUUUCUAGUGUAG
Zonotrichia albicollis (white-throated sparrow) is the source of this 828-nucleotide long non-coding RNA. Lineage: Eukaryota; Metazoa; Chordata; Aves; Passeriformes; Passerellidae. The record is from Ensembl.